CGUCUUUUCAGCGGCGCGCCAAAACCCUAUAUUCGCCGGGCUGGGGCUUGCUCCGGCUAUGGCGAUAAACGGCCGAUGGAAUAAACCUUUCGGACCCGGGGGCGGUACCCGGCGCCUCCACCUGAGCCCAGCCCUCGCGCUGGUUUGAGGCGGGGGCGAAAUAGGAUCGACGAGGGUGUAAAGAUCGUUCUUUCGCUCGGCAUUGUACCACCGUUAUCGGGCUAAAAAAGUAGUUGCCAACGACAACUAUGCGGAAGCCCGUCUCGCCGCCUAACGCGGUGCGAUAGCUUCAAAUCAAGCCCUGAGGGUUCGCACUUUCAGGCGGGGCUCGGAGGUGCCUGGCAACAGAAACCUCCACU
Molecule: transfer-messenger RNA, 359 nt
Filed under: Aureimonas phyllosphaerae
Lineage: Bacteria; Pseudomonadati; Pseudomonadota; Alphaproteobacteria; Hyphomicrobiales; Aurantimonadaceae
Description: Alphaproteobacteria transfer-messenger RNA
Rfam family: Alphaproteobacteria transfer-messenger RNA
About the family: Bacterial tmRNA, also known as 10Sa RNA or SsrA, is named for its dual tRNA and mRNA-like properties. Its role is to liberate the mRNA from a stalled ribosome.
Source: RNAcentral